GCCAACAGGGGGAUUCUCUCUGCUCCGAGCCAAUUUCCUCAUCUGUGUUCCAGAGAUGAAGUCAAAUUCAGUAUGUCUGAGGAAGACACAGAGACACACACAUAGAACAUGAGGUGUGAGCGGGGACGUGAGCCCAGGGGCCAUGGAGAGGACCUUCCCCCCGUGGGUGGGCUCGUACAGGUCCUGCCCUGACUCGGGAUGGGGCAUCCCUGCUGGGUCUCUCCCCACAAUGUAGAAAUUGGCUCCAGUCACCAUUCUUGAACGACAGUGCCACUGCACCUACGUCAACACAGGAGGAAUUUUAAAGACAUGAUGAAGGAGCCUUCUCCAGUCUGGCGUUCCUCGCACCUUACCUCAGUGGGGCCAGCGUACAUCAUAGGGGAGGGGAAGAUGGCAACGAUGGUCGAAGAGGGGUCAAGUACGCCCUCCUCCAACACGGCCGCGUGCUGCUUCAUGCGCCAGGGUAGUGGCACGUCAUCGUCUUUGGUCCAGCCCCCCAGCGGAUGGAGGAGCAGCACGGGCCGCUGGUAUCCGCGUUCCUCCAGCCGCCGCCUGGUGUCCUGCAUAAGCAGGGCGUGGCCAUUGUGCACAGGGUUCCGCAGUUGGAAGGCAAAGACAGCGUCUAAGAAAAAAACAGGGCACAAGAGUUCCUUAGGAGUGAGUCUAUAUUGAUCCAGACCAUCUUCCCAUCUAAUUCUCUUCAGCACUUCAAGGUCACCACCGA
This is a long non-coding RNA of Alosa sapidissima (American shad), 724 nucleotides long. RefSeq lists it as uncharacterized. NCBI's taxonomy places the organism in Eukaryota, Metazoa, Chordata, Actinopteri, Clupeiformes, Clupeidae. The record is from RefSeq and is a predicted model, not a curated record. The transcript is spliced from 4 exons.